Molecule: ribosomal RNA, 253 nt
Filed under: uncultured bacterium
Lineage: Bacteria
Description: partial 16S ribosomal RNA
Rfam family: Bacterial small subunit ribosomal RNA
Source: RNAcentral
UACGGGGGGAGCAAGCGUUGUUCGGAUUUACUGGGCGUAAAGGGCUCGUAGGCGGCCAACUAAGUCAGAGGUGAAAUCCCCAGGCUCAACCUGGGAACUGCGUCUGAUACUGGAUGGCUUGAAUUCGGGAGAGGGAUGCAGAAUUCCAGGUGUAGCGGUGAAAUGCGUAGAUAUCUGGAGGAAUACCGGUGGCGAAGGCGGCAUCCUGGACCGACAUUGACGCUGAGGAGCGAAAGCUAGGGGAGCAAACGGG